RNAcentral lists this ribosomal RNA (460 nucleotides) under uncultured bacterium. Its description in RNAcentral is "partial 16S ribosomal RNA". It matches the Rfam family "Bacterial small subunit ribosomal RNA", at positions 338 to 795 of the family's 1533-position model. The record is from RNAcentral.
CCUACGGGGUGCAGCAGUGAGGAAUAUUGGUCAAUGGACGGAAGUCUGAACCAGCCAUGCCGCGUGCAGGAAGACGGCUCUAUGAGUUGUAAACUGCUUUUGUACAAGGGUAAACCUGAAUACGUGUAUUCAGCUGAAAGUACUGUACGAAUAAGGAUCGGCUAACUCCGUGCCAGCAGCCGCGGUAAUACGGAGGAUCCAAGCGUUAUCCGGAUUUAUUGGGUUUAAAGGGUGCGUAGGCGGAUUGAUAAGUUAGAGGUGAAAUGUCCGAGCUUAACUCGGGAACUGCCUCUAAUACUGUUGAUCUAGAGAGUAGAUGCGGUAGGCGGAAUGUAUGGUGUAGCGGUGAAAGGCUUAGAGAUCAUACAGAACACCGAUUGCGAAGGCAGCUUACCAAUCUAUAUCUGACGUUGAGGCACGAAAGCGUGGGGAGCAAACAGGAUUAGAUACCCUGGUAGUC